CCUACGGGUGGCAGCAGUGAGGAAUAUUGGUCAAUGGGCGCUAGCCUGAACCAGCCAAGUAGCGUGAAGGAUGACGGCCAUAUGGGUUGUAAACUUCUUUUAUAUGGGAGUAAAUUGCAGUAUGUAUACUGCUUUGCAUGUACCUUAUCAAUAAGGAUCGGCUAACUCCGUGCCAGCGGCCGCGGUAAUACGGAGGUUCCGAGCGUUAUCCGGAUUUAGUGGGUUUAAAGGGAGCGGAUGCGGGUUGGUAAGUCAGUUGUGAAAGUUUGCGGCUCAACCGUCAAAUUGCAGUUGAUACUGGGAUCCUUGAGUACAGUAGAGGUAGGCGGAAUUCGUGGUGUAGCGGUGAAAUGCUUAGAUAUCACGAAGAACUCCGAUUGCGAAGGCAGCCUGCUGGACUGUAACUGACGCUGAUGCUCGAAAGCGUGGGUAUCAAACAGGAUUAGAUACCCGGGUAGUC
RNAcentral lists this ribosomal RNA (460 nucleotides) under uncultured bacterium. RNAcentral's name for it is "partial 16S ribosomal RNA". It matches the Rfam family "Bacterial small subunit ribosomal RNA", at positions 338 to 795 of the family's 1533-position model. The record is from RNAcentral.